This is a long non-coding RNA of Solanum dulcamara, 921 nucleotides long. RefSeq lists it as uncharacterized. The transcript is spliced from 2 exons. NCBI's taxonomy places the organism in Eukaryota, Viridiplantae, Streptophyta, Magnoliopsida, Solanales, Solanaceae. The record is from RefSeq and is a predicted model, not a curated record.
AGGGGGCAAAAUUCAGAAUAAGUAUGAUGAUUCUUUUCUCCAGAAAGAAAGAGAAGAAUGAAACAUCCAAUCUGAUUUAUGAUCUCUUCCUUUCCUAUUCUCAAAAAACUCUCUCUCUAUUAAUUAUUUUUACAGCCAACAACAACAAUACACAUUUGACAAUAAAAGCUCCACCAUCUUAAAUAGUGCUCAACUGUCCCUCUUUUGAAACUAUAUUAUUAUUAUGAGUACAAAAAUUAAAUAGUGAGUAGUGCAGAUUGAGAGAUCACUACAAUCUUGAUUUUUCAUGGAGAUUUCUCAAAGGGUUCCUUACAUAGUUCUUUGGCAUUCUGUCCACCUCCCUUAUAUAUAAUUUUCUGUUUUUUUAGAAAAUUAUUUUUUAUUAUUUAGAAGGAAAAAAAGAAGAAGAAAGAAUGGAGGUGGGCAUACUGUCAACAGAUUUGUGUUGGUUUCUCUUUGUGAAAUCUUCGUGAUGUUUCACCUCACACGUUGUUUUGUUGUUGUUAAUUAAACCACAGAUUUUGUGCUGAUGAAUGAUGAUGAUGAUGACUAGGCUUUUUUUGGAAAUUCCAAAAAGCAACAACGCAACCUCCACGAUCUCUGUUCAUUAUCUUCUACAACAGCGCAGUUUUCAAACCCAGUGGUCCAGCUGGUUGGUUCUACAACGUUGCCACUAAUAGAAAGGCUUCAUCUGAUUACUCUGCCUGGGCUGCUAAACAGACUUUCAAUCUUGGUGAUUAGCCAAGAAAUUCGAGCAUAGCCAAGAAAGGAAGAAGAACGAGGCGACAGAGAAAAAUAGGAUUUCCUGUAAAAGGGUGGUUUCCCAUCUCUGCUUUGCCAGUGAUUUUUUCAUUAAUGGAACAAAAAACCAACAACCCUUUGAAAUAUACAAGAAAAACAAACAUUAUACCUUCAUCCAAA